UACGUAGGGCGCAAGCGUUGUCCGGAAUUAUUGGGCGUAAAGAGCUCGUAGGCGGCCUGUUACGUCUGCUGUGAAAUCCCGGGGCUUAACCCCGGGCGUGCAGUGGAUACGGGCAGGCUGGAGGCAGGCAGGGGAGAACGGAAUUCCCGGUGUAGCGGUGAAAUGCGCAGAUAUCAGGAGGAACACCGAUGGCGAAGGCAGCUCGCUGGGACGGUACUGACGCUGAGGCGCGAAAGCGUGGGGAGCAAACAGG
This 253-nucleotide ribosomal RNA is filed under the name uncultured bacterium. Its description in RNAcentral is "partial 16S ribosomal RNA". It matches the Rfam family "Bacterial small subunit ribosomal RNA", at positions 524 to 776 of the family's 1533-position model. The record is from RNAcentral.